This 484-nucleotide ribosomal RNA is filed under the name uncultured bacterium. Its description in RNAcentral is "partial 16S ribosomal RNA". It matches the Rfam family "Bacterial small subunit ribosomal RNA", at positions 30 to 507 of the family's 1533-position model. The record is from RNAcentral.
AUUGAACGCUGGCGGCAGGCCUAACACAUGCAAGUCGAGCGGAUGAAGGGAGCUUGCUCCUGGAUUCAGCGGCGGACGGGUGAGUAAUGCCUAGGAAUCUGCCUGGUAGUGGGGGAUAACGUCCGGAAACGGGCGCUAAUACCGCAUACGUCCUGAGGGAGAAAGUGGGGGAUCUUCGGACCUCACGCUAUCAGAUGAGCCUAGGUCGGAUUAGCUAGUUGGUGGGGUAAAGGCCUACCAAGGCGACGAUCCGUAACUGGUCUGAGAGGAUGAUCAGUCACACUGGAACGGAGACACGGUCCAGACUCCUAAGGGAGGCAGCAGUGGGGAAUAUUGGACAAUGGGCGGAAGCAUGAUCCAGCCAUGCCGCGUGUGUGAAGAAGGUCUUCGGAUUGUAAAGCACGUUAAGUUGGGAGGAAGGGCAGUAAGUUAAUACCUUGCUGUUUUGACGGUACCAACAGAAUAAGCACCGGCUAACUUCGUG